AACAAUGUGCCUGAUCAAAAGGAAUACCUUGAUAGGGUAUAUCAUGUAGAUUUCUACCAUUGUUA
This 65-nucleotide transfer RNA is filed under the name Scolytinae sp. BMNH 1040351. Its description in RNAcentral is "tRNA-Ile". Lineage: Eukaryota; Metazoa; Arthropoda; Insecta; Coleoptera; Curculionidae. The record is from RNAcentral.